RNAcentral lists this ribosomal RNA (604 nucleotides) under uncultured bacterium. RNAcentral describes it as "bacterial SSU rRNA". It matches the Rfam family "Bacterial small subunit ribosomal RNA", at positions 929 to 1532 of the family's 1533-position model. The record is from RNAcentral.
GCAGCGGAGCAUGUGGUUUAAUUCGAAGCAACGCGAAGAACCUUACCAAGGCUUGACAUCCCCUUGACAGAUGCAGAGAUGUGUCCUCCCCUUCGGGGGCAAGGGAGACAGGUGGUGCAUGGUUGUCGUCAGCUCGUGUCGUGAGAUGUUGGGUUAAGUCCCGCAACGAGCGCAACCCUUGUCAUUAGUUGCCAGCAUUAAGGUGGGCACUCUAAUGAGACUGCCGGUGAUAAACCGGAGGAAGGUGGGGAUGACGUCAAAUCAUCAUGCCCCUUAUGUCUUGGGCUACACACGUGCUACAAUGGUCGGAACAAAGGGAAGCGAAGAAGCGAUUCGGAGCAAAACCUAAUAAACCGAUCCCAGUUCGGAUUGCAGGCUGCAACUCGCCUGCAUGAAGUCGGAGUUGCUAGUAAUCGCGAAUCAGAACGUCGCGGUGAAUGCGUUCCCGGGUCUUGUACACACCGCCCGUCACACCAUGGAAGUUGAUAAUACCCAAAGUCGAUGAGCUAACCGAAAGGAGGCAGUCGCCUAAGGUAGGAUUAAUGACUGGGGUGAAGUCGUAACAAGGUAGCCGUAUCGGAAGGUGCGGCUGGAUCACCUCCUU